GAGAAAUGCUAACCUUGUAGCAUGUGAAGAAUGUCUGUACCUUGAUACGAUAGUUACAUAAUCAGUAUAUUUGGUUUCUAGAUCACUGUGCUUAUUUUGUUUCAAUCUCUGACUAAAAAUACUUAAAUUUGGUUUGUUAAUUCUUAUUUUAGAAAUUAUAAUUUUAGUUUAUAUUAAUUUCGGUUAUAGCUUACUGAAGAAAUCUUUCCAGUUAGAAGGAGGUUCUAAUAUUCACAUGUUCUAAUACUUUGUUUAUUGUAAAACAGCUAAAUUUGGAGAUACGUAAAGCCUUGUUUUCUCUGUGUGGUUCAGCUACUUUCCAUUUGGUAUUACACAGUCAAAUUUACAUUUAUCUAUUAAAAUUGCCAUUUUAUUAAACAUUUU
RNAcentral lists this long non-coding RNA (384 nucleotides) under Homo sapiens (human). RNAcentral's name for it is "non-protein coding lnc-ARHGAP20-4:1". Lineage: Eukaryota; Metazoa; Chordata; Mammalia; Primates; Hominidae. The record is from RNAcentral.